GAUGAACGCUGGCGGCGUGCCUAAUACAUGCAAGUCGAGCGAACAGAUGAGGAGCUUGCUCCUCUGACGUUAGCGGCGGACGGGUGAGUAACACGUGGAUAACCUACCUAUAAGACUGGGAUAACUUCGGGAAACCGGAGCUAAUACCGGAUAAUAUAUUGAACCGCAUGGUUCAAUAGUGAAAGACGGUUUUGCUGUCACUUAUAGAUGGAUCCGCGCCGCAUUAGCUAGUUGGUAAGGUAACGGCUUACCAAGGCAACGAUGCGUAGCCGACCUGAGAGGGUGAUCGGCCACACUGGAACUGAGACACGGUCCAGACUACUACGGGAGGCAGCAGUAGGGAAUCUUACGCAAUGGGCGAAAGCCUGACGGAGCAGCGCCGCGUGAGUGAUGAAGGUCUUCGGAUCGUAAAACUCUGUUAUUGGGGAAGAACAAAUGUGUAAGUAACCAUGCACGUCUUGACGGUACCUAAUCAGAAAGCAACGGCUAACUACGUG
RNAcentral lists this ribosomal RNA (497 nucleotides) under uncultured bacterium. RNAcentral's name for it is "partial 16S ribosomal RNA". It matches the Rfam family "Bacterial small subunit ribosomal RNA", at positions 28 to 507 of the family's 1533-position model. The record is from RNAcentral.